This is a long non-coding RNA of Daphnia pulex (common water flea), 455 nucleotides long. RefSeq lists it as uncharacterized. The transcript has 2 exons. Lineage: Eukaryota; Metazoa; Arthropoda; Branchiopoda; Diplostraca; Daphniidae. The record is from RefSeq and is a predicted model, not a curated record.
UAGCAGUUCUAGCACGCACACUUCACAUACACAAAUCUGGCUAGGCCAUAUUUGACGUUUAAAACGAAUUCUGCUCGUAACUCGACUUUAAAAGACAGUUUGUGUGGGUUAUUUUUUUUCUACUCUCUACGGGGGAAUCUUACUCGGCGUGUUCAAUUUUUCAUCCGAGUACUGUGUGCCUCUGCGAACUGAUGGAACUUUGACUGGGGUCUUCACUUUUCCCCAAGGCCGUUGACCACCGAACGACUCACCGAAACUGACAAAAAUGUUCAAAAUAUUCAAAGGAUGCAAUCGUCAGGUCGAGUAUGUGGAUAAGCGUCACUGUUCGUUACCUAGCGUCCCCGAAGAUCUCUGGCGUUAUUCAAGAAGUCUAGAAGAGCUACUGCUUGAUGCCAAUCAUAUUAGAGACUUGCCCAAGAAUUUCUUCAGGCUUGCAAAGUUGCGAAAGCUUAGUC